This 1491-nucleotide ribosomal RNA is filed under the name uncultured bacterium. Its description in RNAcentral is "bacterial SSU rRNA". It matches the Rfam family "Bacterial small subunit ribosomal RNA". The record is from RNAcentral.
GUUUGAUCCUGGCUCAGGAUGAACGCUAGCGGCAGGCUUAACACAUGCAAGUCGAGGGGUAUUUGUCUUCGGACAGAGAGACCGGCGCACGGGUGCGUAACGCGUAUGCAAUCUGCCUUUCACAGAGGGAUAGCCCAGAGAAAUUUGGAUUAAUACCUCAUAGUAUUACAGGAUGGCAUCGUCCAGUAAUUAAAGUCACAACGGUGAAAGAUGAGCAUGCGUCCCAUUAGCUAGUUGGUAAGGUAACGGCUUACCAAGGCUACGAUGGGUAGGGGUCCUGAGAGGGAGAUCCCCCACACUGGUACUGAGACACGGACCAGACUCCUACGGGAGGCAGCAGUGAGGAAUAUUGGUCAAUGGGCGCAAGCCUGAACCAGCCAUGCCGCGUGCAGGAUGACGGUCCUAUGGAUUGUAAACUGCUUUUGUACGAGAAGAAACACUGAUUCGUGAAUCAGCUUGACGGUAUCGUAAGAAUAAGGAUCGGCUAACUCCGUGCCAGCAGCCGCGGUAAUACGGAGGAUCCAAGCGUUAUCCGGAAUCAUUGGGUUUAAAGGGUCCGUAGGCGGUCUUGUAAGUCAGUGGUGAAAGCCCAUCGCUCAACGGUGGAACGGCCAUUGAUACUGCUGGACUUGAAUUAUUAGGAAGUAACUAGAAUAUGUAGUGUAGCGGUGAAAUGCUUAGAGAUUACAUGGAAUACCAAUUGCGAAGGCAGGUUACUACUAAUUGAUUGACGCUGAUGGACGAAAGCGUGGGUAGCGAACAGGAUUAGAUACCCUGGUAGUCCACGCCGUAAACGAUGGAUACUAGCUGUUGGGAGCAAUUUCAGUGGCUAAGCGAAAGUGAUAAGUAUCCCCACCUGGGGAGUACGUUCGCAAGAAUGAAACUCAAAGGAAUUGACGGGGGCCCGCACAAGCGGUGGAGCAUGUGGUUUAAUUCGAUGAUACGCGAGGAACCUUACCAAGGCUUAAAUGCAGACUGACCGAUUUGGAAACAGAUCUUUCGCAAGACAGUUUACAAGGUGCUGCAUGGUUGUCGUCAGCUCGUGCCGUGAGGUGUCAGGUUAAGUCCUAUAACGAGCGCAACCCCUGUUGUUAGUUGCCAGCGAGUCAUGUCGGGAACUCUAACAAGACUGCCAGUGCAAACUGUGAGGAAGGUGGGGAUGACGUCAAAUCAUCAUGCCCCUUAUGUCUUGGGCUUCACGCAUGCUACAAUGGCCGGUACAAUGGGUUGCGAUACUGUGAGGUGGAGCUAAUCCCAAAAAGCCGGUCUCAGUUCGGAUUGGGGUCUGCAACUCGACCCCAUGAAGUCGGAGUCGCUAGUAAUCGCAGAUCAGCAACGCUGCGGUGAAUACGUUCCCGGGCCUUGUACACACCGCCCGUCAAGUCACGAAAGUUGGUAACACCCGAAGCCGGUGGCCUAACCCCCUUGUGGGGAGGGAGCUGUCGAAGGUGGGACUGGCGAUUGGGACUAAGUCGUAACAAGGUAACCGUA